Pteropus alecto (black flying fox) is the source of this 73-nucleotide non-coding RNA. The record is from Rfam. NCBI's taxonomy places the organism in Eukaryota, Metazoa, Chordata, Mammalia, Chiroptera, Pteropodidae.
GGUUCCAUAGUGCAGCAGUUAGCACGUCCGCUUUGCACACAGAAGGUCCUGGGUUCGUGCCCCAGUGGAGUUA